RNAcentral lists this ribosomal RNA (402 nucleotides) under uncultured bacterium. RNAcentral's name for it is "bacterial SSU rRNA". It matches the Rfam family "Bacterial small subunit ribosomal RNA", at positions 355 to 774 of the family's 1533-position model. The record is from RNAcentral.
ACGGGAAUUUUGGGCAAUGGGCGAAAGCCUGACCCAGCAACGCCGCGUGAGGGAUGAAGUAUUUCGGUAUGUAAACCUCGAAAGAAUGGGAAGAAUAAAUGACGGUACCAUUUAUAAGCUCCGGCUAACUACGUGCCAGCAGCCGCGGUAAUACGUAGGGAGCAAGCGUUGUUCGGAUUUACUGGGCGUAAAGGGCGCGUAGGCGGCGCGGUAAGUCACUUGUGAAAUCUCUGAGCUUAACUCAGAACGGCCAAGUGAUACUGCUGUGCUAGAGUGCGGAAGAGGCAACCGGAAUGCUUGGUUUAGCGGUGAAAUGCGUAGAUAUCAAGAGGAACACCUGAGGCGAAGGCGGGUUGCUGAGCCGACACUGACGCUGAUGCGCGAAAGCCAGGGGAGCAAACG